Sinocyclocheilus grahami is the source of this 509-nucleotide long non-coding RNA. RefSeq lists it as uncharacterized. Lineage: Eukaryota; Metazoa; Chordata; Actinopteri; Cypriniformes; Cyprinidae. The record is from RefSeq and is a predicted model, not a curated record. The transcript is spliced from 3 exons.
CUAAAAUAUUGAUGGGACACCUAAUUAAACAAGCGAAAUGAAAACAUAUAGGCAGAACAUAUCACUUGAUGGCUGGAGGUAGAUGGUCUUAUCUUUGAAAAGUUUGCACAACACGACACCAUCAAGACUUCGACCUGCCUCCAAAACUGGCUUGACCAAGUUGGUGUAGGUUGCCAUCAUUAUUGUGACCCUUGGUUUGUUUUGAAAUAGGGUCCUCAGGUGUUGUAGAAUCUCCUGUGCAGUCCACUCCUUCUGAAACUGCACAGCAGACACUAUACAUCCAUGCUCUGCCAGGAAUGUUUUUCUAAUGGACCUUGGAACCUUGCAGUCUCUGGGAGAUGUAAGCAGGCAAACAUCUCGAAGAAAGGGGACAUGUUCAGAUGUCCUUUUCCUUUUUCCAUGCCUUAGUUAACAAUUAAUGAGGUAAUGAGCAUUAAUGAAGUAAUGUUACUCUAAUAUACUCUGUAUAUUUCACCAUAAAACGUUACAUAUGUCUAAAAUGUAAAAAA